RNAcentral lists this ribosomal RNA (507 nucleotides) under uncultured bacterium. Its description in RNAcentral is "partial 16S ribosomal RNA". It matches the Rfam family "Bacterial small subunit ribosomal RNA", at positions 28 to 507 of the family's 1533-position model. The record is from RNAcentral.
GACGAACGCUGGCGGCGUGCUUAACACAUGCAAGUCGAACGGGCCUUGUCCCCUUUUUUUUUGGGGGUGGGGUUAGUGGCGAACGGGUGAGUAACACGUGAGUAACCUGCCCCUCACUUCUGGAUAACCGCUUGAAAGGGUGGCUAAUACGGGGUGUUCUGGCCUGCUCGCAUGGGUGGGUUUGGAAAGAUUCGACCGGUUUGGUUGUUUUGGUGGGGGAUGGGCUCGCGGCCUAUCAGCUGGUUGGUGGGGGGAUGGCCUGCCAAGGCUUUGACGGGUAGCCGGCCUGAGAGGGUGGGCGGUCACACUGGGACUGAGACACGGCCCAGACUCCUACGGGAGGCAGCAGUGGGGAAUAUUGCACAAUGGGCGCAAGCCUGAUGCAGCGACGCCGCGUGAGGGAUGGAGGCCUUCGGGUUGUGAACCUCUUUCGCCAGUGAAGAAGGUCCUGCUCUUUGUGGUGGGGUUGACGGUAGCUGGGUUAAUGAAGCGCCGGCUAACUACGUG